Molecule: unclassified non-coding RNA, 164 nt
Organism: Chelonoidis abingdonii (Abingdon island giant tortoise)
Lineage: Eukaryota; Metazoa; Chordata; Testudines; Testudinidae
Source: Ensembl
CUGAAAAUUUGACCCAGGUACUCUAUGUACACAGUAAAUCCAGCAUGAGCAGUGGCCACACAAGCUUCCCCACACCUGCCCAGUCAGUAUGCCUCAACCCUGUCUUGGAUGGAUCCCUCUCUGGAGCGGCUCAGUCUUCAUGACCCAUUUAAUCCUUGGCCUCU